GCGUGCCUAACACAUGCAAGUCGAACGGACUGGCGCCUAGUGGGAGCUUGCUUGAGGUGAGGACAUGAGAAAUCGUGAGAAUCACCAAAGGCAAGUGGAAGCUAUUAGCUGGUCAGUGGCGUACGGGUGAGUAACACGUGGGUGACCUGCCCCGAAGUGGGGGAUAACUAUUCGAAAGGAUAGCUAAUACCGCAUGUACUUCGGCAUUCGCUUGUCGAAGCAAAGGAGCAAUCCGCUUUGGGAGGGGCCCUGCGGCCCAUCAGCUAGUUGGCAGGGUAAUGGCCUACCAAGGCAAUGACGGGUAGCUGGUCUGAGAGGACGAUCAGCCACACUGGCACUGAGACACGGGCCAGACUUCUACGGAAGUGCAGCAGUGAGGAAUAUUGCGCAAUGGGCGAAAGCCAGACGCAGCAACGCCGCGUGGGCGACGAAGGUCUUCGGAUCGUAGAGCCCUUUUCUAGGGGAAGAGGAAGGACUAGUACCCUAGGAACAAGUCUACGGCUAACUACGUGCCAGCAGCCGCGGUAAAACGUAGGAGGCAAGCGUUAUCCGGAUUCAUUGGGCGUAAAGCGCCGUGCAGGCGG
Molecule: ribosomal RNA, 584 nt
Filed under: uncultured bacterium
Lineage: Bacteria
Description: bacterial SSU rRNA
Rfam family: Bacterial small subunit ribosomal RNA
Source: RNAcentral